This 76-nucleotide transfer RNA is filed under the name Arenicellales bacterium IbO2. RNAcentral describes it as "tRNA-Thr". It matches the Rfam family "tRNA". Rfam says of the family: Transfer RNA (tRNA) molecules are approximately 80 nucleotides in length. Their secondary structure includes four short double-helical elements and three loops (D, anti-codon, and T loops). Further hydrogen bonds mediate the characteristic L-shaped molecular structure. tRNAs have two regions of fundamental functional importance: the anti-codon, which is responsible for specific mRNA codon recognition, and the 3' end, to which the tRNAs corresponding amino acid is attached (by aminoacyl-tRNA synthetases). tRNAs cope with the degeneracy of the genetic code in two manners: having more than one tRNA (with a specific anti-codon) for a particular amino acid; and 'wobble' base-pairing, i.e. permitting non-standard base-pairing at the 3rd anti-codon position. Lineage: Bacteria; Pseudomonadati; Pseudomonadota; Gammaproteobacteria; Arenicellales. The record is from RNAcentral.
GCCCACAUAGCUCAGUCGGUAGAGCACUUCCUUGGUAAGGAAGAGGUCACCGGUUCAAAUCCGGUUGUGGGCUCCG